This 129-nucleotide long non-coding RNA is filed under the name Aotus nancymaae (Ma's night monkey). RNAcentral describes it as "SMAD5 antisense RNA 1 conserved region 2 (ENSANAG00000007805.1)". It matches the Rfam family "SMAD5 antisense RNA 1 conserved region 2". Lineage: Eukaryota; Metazoa; Chordata; Mammalia; Primates; Aotidae. The record is from RNAcentral.
CCGAUCUCUUCCCUUUCUCCUCCCCUUUUACCCUCUCCUUCUCAGCUGCUGUUAUUACGUGGAGUUUGGAGCCUAAGCUUUGAAAACUCCCAUGUGGCGCGCCCGUCUUAAGUCUGAGCAUGCUCAGCA